RNAcentral lists this unclassified non-coding RNA (349 nucleotides) under uncultured fungus. Its description in RNAcentral is "sequence contains ITS1". The stretch from base 1 to 105 matches the Rfam family "5.8S ribosomal RNA", at positions 50 to 154 of the family's 154-position model. The record is from RNAcentral. Lineage: Eukaryota; Fungi.
GAAAUGCGAUACGUAAUGUGAAUUGCAGAAUUAUGUGAAUCAUCGAAUCUUUGAACGCACAUUGCGCUUUCUGGCUUGCCAGGAAGCAUGCCUGUUUGAGUAUCAGUAUUACCUCUCACCUCCUCUAUUCUCGAAUAAAGGGGCGUGGAUUUGGGCUUGCCUUUGAACCUGCUUUUUUUAAAGUUGGGUGUGGGGGCUGGCCUUAAAUGCAGCGACGCGAGUACACGCGACAAAGGUGUGUUGGGUAUUUCGAUACUACUACACUGCGUCUGUCGGUGCUUGGGUCUAGGCAGGAAAUACAUUUUUUCAACUUGAUCUCAAAUCAGGCAAGAUUACCCGCUGAACUUAA